GUGACUGCCAAGAUGUACAUGGAGCACAGAAAGAUCGCCAUCCAGAAAUGUGCAGUCUCCAGCCCUGGGAUGCUGGCCAAGAUGAACGAGGGGGAUCCUUCCACCAGCAAGCCCCAGUAAUUGCAUUUAACAAGAGGUACUGUUAUGUGUACAGCAGAAUAGAAAAAGACACUAAUCCUGGGUUAGUCUGAAGUGUGAAGUGCUUAGCAGCAGGCAGAAACAGGCCAGUUCUGGUUUCAGUCCCCUUGGAGGAUUCAGCCAUCUCAGCACAAUCCAGGUUCCUACACUGCACAUGACAAUGCACCCUAACAGAGAUGCUGGAGAGGCUGACAGGGUCCUCGAGCCCUCUCUGUGGCUUCUGUGGCAGAAUAACUGGCUGGGUGGAUGGGGGAAAACAGUCAAUCUGCAAAAGAAGAGCUAAUUAAAGGAAAUACUUGUGGGUUCCGUCCUAAUGCACCUUCCAUAAGAUACAAAACAAGCAGGUCAAAGAGUACAUGAAUUAUGAGCAAGAGGGCUUACUAUAAUACACUUCAUUUUUGAAUAAACACACAUAACUUCCAUGAAGUAUUUAUUACGUUCCUAAUAUGAUUUUACUCCAUUAGACUCUCAGCCUGCUUGAAAGUCUAAUGUGGCAAUAAAUCCCAAAGCUUAACAAGGAUAAACAUCUUCCUGCUCCAGGGCCAAAGCAACACCUAACUGAUGAGAACUGAGGAAGACACAAAGUCAUUUAAUUUCCUCCAAGCAGGACCACUUUAUCUUCAUUGCAAAGUUACACAUUAGUAUCAGGAAUCAUCUUGACAAGCACAUAGCCCCACUGUGUCAGUUGCUGAAGGGACAAGUCACAGCCUUUCUUCACCGGCGCAUGGGAUGGCACAGACGUGGAUGGGCAGCCAACGCUUUCCCUAACACAUUGGCAGUGGUCAACGUUGGCAAAAGGAAACUGUCCAGAGGCACCUCUGGUCCUACAAGGUGCCUUAGAGCUCCCCAAAGGUAAAAGCUGUUCCUUUCUACCAAUCCAACAGCAUCUGAGCAGUGAGAAUUAAUCUGCAGACUCCUGCAAUUCAGUCUCGUCUGGAGGCUGGGUUAAAAAAACCUAAAAACCUGAGUGCAUGCAUGCCUGUUUGUCUAACUGUCUCACUUAAAGCAGCAUCUGGCAGAUAUCCAGAACUCUCAAGGAUAUUAAGAUUCAAGAGGUUUCCAGGAAUAUGGAGGUGGAUAAAGAAGGGAGACUGUUAGAGCACGGAGGGAAAGAAAGGACUGGCGAGAAGAUGUUCCUACAAGAAAACCUUCAUGCAAUCCUGAUUUUGUUAGACACUGGCAACUUCUACCAUGCAAUAUGAAGUUAUUUAGAAAUGGGCUUUACUAGCUCUGCUCCUCUCUGAGCUACUCGGAUUUGUGAUGUGCCCCUACACUUUAAAGAUACAGAUCCCACUCCAAGCCAUUUUUUCCUCUCCAUAUUUUAUGUGUGUGUCUAUAAGUAAUAUAUAUAAAUAUAUAUAUGAAAUAUAUGAACAACUAUGCAUCCUUAUUUAUGUUUAUGUAUGUUUAUAUGUGUAUAUAUAACAUGUAGCACACAUAUAGGUUACACCUCCUAGUUGAAUAUCAUGGGACAGUAAUUACACCUCUCAUGCUGCAGCCAAGCCCUGAUGAGGAAACAAACCUCCAGCUGGUGGAGGAUACAAAUUUAAAAAUUAAUGGCAGCACCUGGGGAGUAUUUGAUGCUAGCCUAGAAAGGCAUUCUACCACAGAGAGAAAGCUGUCUGACUAUUCAGUGCCCAAGGCAUUUCUGCUCCCCAGGAGCUACUCCAGACUGCCUGAGGAAAGGGGUCAGGCAUGAAUGCAGAUGCCUCAUGGAGGACACAGUGCUGUCUCUCCUUCUCCAACCCUCAAAAGCCACCUUGUGAUUUCUUGUCUGUCUCUGACUGAUUUUCACCAGUAACUUAAGCAAAGUACUGGUGCUUUAAGAGUUCUUCUCAGCAUACGCAAGAGCAGGGGUUUGGAAGAGCGGGCUGGGGAAGUAUGAGCCUAAGAAAUUUGGUUUUUUCCCCAAGAAGAGACUUUGGUAUUUUCACAACUGGAUCACUGCCCACUCAAGCACCCAAGUGAGGGCUCAGCUGCUCAGCGAAGGGAGGACUCAGGACACAGCACCCACAGAGCCAAAUUUCUGUUGACUUUACAGACAAGAACAGGAAUGUGCCAUUCCCACCAGCUGAGCCAGGCCACCAGACAGUGGAAGAGCAGACUAAUUCUUGCACAAAGCCCACAGCACAAUGGCAAGCAGCACUGUAAUGGCUAGAUCUUCCCCAGCAGUACUGUGAUGCCAGCACUGCCUGAAAUUACACCUGCCCACUUCCACCAGUACAUUCCACCCAGUGGGUCCUUUGGAGUGGUGUGGACCUCCCAAGUGGCAUUUUGGAGAUGCACCUCCCCACCUUUAUUGAUGUCUAGCCCCAUAAACCACAGCCAGAGCACUAGUAAAAGAGUAGUGCAAUGAUGGAAAGGCUGCUAAUUGCCCAGGGUACUUACCGAGUGUGGCGGUGGGGACCCAGGGGCUUUAUGACCUGCGCAGGCAGCACAACCCUGCUGUGAUGCAGAGGAAGAACCUGCAUCCGUGUCUCAGCACCAGAAGGGCAGCGCUUAUAAUGUGCCCCGAGGACUGACCCUGUCCAAUCAACCAGGAGCGGUGCGGAGCCCAGGCUCCCCUGCGUAAACAGUGUGAGGCGUACCAGUGAAAAUAGUGUGUGAAGUAAAUGAUCUUUUCCAUUUAUGAUGUUCUCCCAGCAGGCAUGAUUUUC
This is a long non-coding RNA of Falco peregrinus (peregrine falcon), 2795 nucleotides long. RefSeq lists it as uncharacterized. The transcript has 4 exons. The record is from RefSeq and is a predicted model, not a curated record. NCBI's taxonomy places the organism in Eukaryota, Metazoa, Chordata, Aves, Falconiformes, Falconidae.